This is a long non-coding RNA of Branchiostoma belcheri (Belcher's lancelet), 275 nucleotides long. RefSeq lists it as uncharacterized. NCBI's taxonomy places the organism in Eukaryota, Metazoa, Chordata, Leptocardii, Amphioxiformes, Branchiostomatidae. The transcript has 3 exons. The record is from RefSeq and is a predicted model, not a curated record.
CGAGCAACAAGUUGUCGAGAGGGCGGAGGAUCUCCUGUCUAAUCUCCAGAAACUCGCAGAUGAGAAGGAAAAUGAUGCCGUCCCCGAGAUGGAUGAGGAAGGAUUUAUCAAGAAGGAAGGUUGUGAAGACCAUGAGGAGGGAGACGAGUGGGGUACAUCUGACCAUGACAACUGUAACUGCCAAGGACCAUAUCGUUUUUGCUAUCAUGUUGACUGCCUUCCUGGUUCUGAGAUCACCCGUGACUCCAAAGGUCUCUGGGACUGUCCAGGCGGUU